This 2038-nucleotide ribosomal RNA is filed under the name Escherichia coli. Its description in RNAcentral is "bacterial LSU rRNA". It matches the Rfam family "Bacterial large subunit ribosomal RNA", at positions 486 to 2157 of the family's 2925-position model. The record is from RNAcentral. Lineage: Bacteria; Pseudomonadati; Pseudomonadota; Gammaproteobacteria; Enterobacterales; Enterobacteriaceae.
GAUAGUGAACCAGUACCGUGAGGGAAAGGCGAAAAGAACCCCGGCGAGGGGAGUGAAAAAGAACCUGAAACCGUGUACGUACAAGCAGUGGGAGCACGCUUAGGCGUGUGACUGCGUACCUUUUGUAUAAUGGGUCAGCGACUUAUAUUCUGUAGCAAGGUUAACCGAAUAGGGGAGCCGAAGGGAAACCGAGUCUUAACUGGGCGUUAAGUUGCAGGGUAUAGACCCNCUUAGGCGUGUGACUGCGUACCUUUUGUAUAAUGGGUCAGCGACUUAUAUUCUGUAGCAAGGUUAACCGAAUAGGGGAGCCGAAGGGAAACCGAGUCUUAACUGGGCGUUAAGUUGCAGGGUAUAGACCCGAAACCCGGUGAUCUAGCCAUGGGCAGGUUGAAGGUUGGGUAACACUAACUGGAGGACCGAACCGACUAAUGUUGAAAAAUUAGCGGAUGACUUGUGGCUGGGGGUGAAAGGCCAAUCAAACCGGGAGAUAGCUGGUUCUCCCCGAAAGCUAUUUAGGUAGCGCCUCGUGAAUUCAUCUCCGGGGGUAGAGCACUGUUUCGGCAAGGGGGUCAUCCCGACUUACCAACCCGAUGCAAACUGCGAAUACCGGAGAAUGUUAUCACGGGAGACACACGGCGGGUGCUAACGUCCGUCGUGAAGAGGGAAACAACCCAGACCGCCAGCUAAGGUCCCAAAGUCAUGGUUAAGUGGGAAACGAUGUGGGAAGGCCCAGACAGCCAGGAUGUUGGCUUAGAAGCAGCCAUCAUUUAAAGAAAGCGUAAUAGCUCACUGGUCGAGUCGGCCUGCGCGGAAGAUGUAACGGGGCUAAACCAUGCACCGAAGCUGCGGCAGCGACGCUUAUGCGUUGUUGGGUAGGGGAGCGUUCUGUAAGCCUGUGAAGGUGUGCUGUGAGGCAUGCUGGAGGUAUCAGAAGUGCGAAUGCUGACAUAAGUAACGAUAAAGCGGGUGAAAAGCCCGCUCGCCGGAAGACCAAGGGUUCCUGUCCAACGUUAAUCGGGGCAGGGUGAGUCGACCCCUAAGGCGAGGCCGAAAGGCGUAGUCGAUGGGAAACAGGUUAAUAUUCCUGUACUUGGUGUUACUGCGAAGGGGGGACGGAGAAGGCUAUGUUGGCCGGGCGACGGUUGUCCCGGUUUAAGCGUGUAGGCUGGUUUUCCAGGCAAAUCCGGAAAAUCAAGGCUGAGGCGUGAUGACGAGGCACUACGGUGCUGAAGCAACAAAUGCCCUGCUUCCAGGAAAAGCCUCUAAGCAUCAGGUAACAUCAAAUCGUACCCCAAACCGACACAGGUGGUCAGGUAGAGAAUACCAAGGCGCUUGAGAGAACUCGGGUGAAGGAACUAGGCAAAAUGGUGCCGUAACUUCGGGAGAAGGCACGCUGAUAUGUAGGUGAAGUCCCUCGCGGAUGGAGUUGAAAUCAGUCGAAGAUACCAGCUGGCUGCAACUGUUUAUUAAAAACACAGCACNGCACGCUGAUAUGUAGGUGAAGCGACUUGCUCGUGGAGCUGAAAUCAGUCGAAGAUACCAGCUGGCUGCAACUGUUUAUUAAAAACACAGCACUGUGCAAACACGAAAGUGGACGUAUACGGUGUGACGCCUGCCCGGUGCCGGAAGGUUAAUUGAUGGGGUCAGCGCAAGCGAAGCUCUUGAUCGAAGCCCCGGUAAACGGCGGCCGUAACUAUAACGGUCCUAAGGUAGCGAAAUUCCUUGUCGGGUAAGUUCCGACCUGCACGNCCGGAAGGUUAAUUGAUGGGGUCAGCGCAAGCGAAGCUCUUGAUCGAAGCCCCGGUAAACGGCGGCCGUAACUAUAACGGUCCUAAGGUAGCGAAAUUCCUUGUCGGGUAAGUUCCGACCUGCACGAAUGGCGUAAUGAUGGCCAGGCUGUCUCCACCCGAGACUCAGUGAAAUUGAACUCGCUGUGAAGAUGCAGUGUACCCGCGGCAAGACGGAAAGACCCCGUGAACCUUUACUAUAGCUUGACACUGAACAUUGAGCCUUGAUGUGUAGGAUAGGUGGGAGGCUU